UAUUAGUUUGAAAUCUUUGCAACACAUCAAUAAAGUAAAACGCACUAAGCGUUGCAGCGGAAUAGCUUAAGUGGAUUACAUGUAUGAAGACAUGGAAUCCUGAGCCUAAUUUAGUAUAGUACUUAUAUAUCAAAAGCUUUGCUCUGCUGACAUCCAUCUGCAUCACAGCUUAACCUGCACAUUUAGAAAACAUAUGCAGGGCUGAGUACUCAAAAGCACUCAAUGGUCACAUGCCGAAAUAACUUGAAAGCUUGCUCUUAGAGCUAUAUAUUGAACUUGCCAUCUCAAGCAUCACACAGGAGUUUUAUUUAAAUAACCUGUGCAUGCCA
RNAcentral lists this long non-coding RNA (329 nucleotides) under Salvia miltiorrhiza (redroot sage). RNAcentral's name for it is "long non-coding RNA (SMIL_LNC010957)". Lineage: Eukaryota; Viridiplantae; Streptophyta; Magnoliopsida; Lamiales; Lamiaceae. The record is from RNAcentral.